This 57-nucleotide non-coding RNA is filed under the name uncultured Chlorophyceae. Lineage: Eukaryota; Viridiplantae; Chlorophyta; Chlorophyceae. The record is from RNAcentral.
UUUCUGAGGUGCAGCGGCAGCGCGCGGAGGGUACACGCCCCGGGAAGCCCUGGCGCG